UUGCCACUAGCACGAGGAUGCUUCUUGCCAUGUGACCGCAAUAUUGAAGGAACGCUUUGUAAAGUGCUUGGACGGUCUGGUAGACAUAGCCAUGCACCCAGGCUCUGCCGUGUUCAAAAGGGAAUCCUUGGCCUCCUCCAGACCAAGGAAUACUUUGUUCUUUGGUGAGCUGCAGCCUGGCCAGGACCUGAAUCUGGACAAAGGUCAUCUGAUAUUCCCUCUGUAGAGAAACAGCUCAUGUCACUUCAUGGAACUCAUUCACAGGUUCUUCAGUUGUGAAUUCAACCAAUACCUGGACGUUGGCUCAAUCAGCAGAAGUGGAACAAGGGAAAUUACAAUGCCAACUAUAAGAAUUGUUGUGAGGUGUCCCAAGGGUCCAGAAUCUGGCUGGAGAUUGCUUGU
Long non-coding RNA from Talpa occidentalis (Iberian mole), 402 nucleotides. RefSeq lists it as uncharacterized. Lineage: Eukaryota; Metazoa; Chordata; Mammalia; Eulipotyphla; Talpidae. The transcript has 5 exons. The record is from RefSeq and is a predicted model, not a curated record.